GUCCUUUGUCCCAGCGUCUGACAACCACCCUCCAGUUCUGCAUGAGACAGGCUCUUCCAUUUGGUUCUGCAGCUCUGUCCUGUAUGCACGUAUCCGUGCAUUGCAGACCAUCAGGUUUUUAACUGCUUGCAAAAGCUGGUCUUUCUGUGUGCUCACUGUAAGCAGUUUACGGAUACCUUCCCGUAUGCGGAUUUCAAAGUCCAUCUUUUCUUGGAUGUUGCGCUCCCGCUCCGCGCCCGCCGCCCCGGCAGCGCCCGACCCGCGCCGCUGCAUCCUCCUCGGCG
RNAcentral lists this long non-coding RNA (284 nucleotides) under Gallus gallus (chicken). The record is from RNAcentral. Lineage: Eukaryota; Metazoa; Chordata; Aves; Galliformes; Phasianidae.